Molecule: ribosomal RNA, 490 nt
Filed under: uncultured bacterium
Lineage: Bacteria
Description: partial 16S ribosomal RNA
Rfam family: Bacterial small subunit ribosomal RNA
Source: RNAcentral
GAUGAACGCUAGCGGCAGGCCUAAUACAUGCAAGUCGAACGGGAUCCAGAUCAAAGCUUGCUUUGGUCUGGUGCGAGUGGCGCACGGGUGCGUAACGCGUGAGCAACUUACCCUUGUCAGGGGGUUAGCCCGGCGAAAGUCGGCUUAAUACCGCUUGACAUUAUUGAGAGGCAUCCUUCGAUGUUCAACGUUUUAUCGUACAAGGAUGGGGUCGCGUGACAUUGGCUAGUUGGUAAGGUAACGGCUUACCAAGGCUGCGAUGUCGGGGUGCGCUGAGAGGAAGACCCCCUAGACCGGUACUGAGACACGGACCAGACUCCGACGGGGGAGAGCAGUAAGUAAUACUAGUCAAGGGACGGUAGUCUAAACCAGCCAUGCCGCGUACAGGAGGACUGCCCUAGGAGAGGUAAACUGCUUGGAUACGGAAACAAACGUCGGUACGUGUACCGGUCUGACGGUACCGUAAGAAUAAGGAUCGGCUAACUCCGUG